Molecule: ribosomal RNA, 415 nt
Filed under: uncultured prokaryote
Description: bacterial SSU rRNA
Rfam family: Bacterial small subunit ribosomal RNA
Source: RNAcentral
GUGUCAGCCGCCGCGGUAAGACGAACCGUCCAAACGUUAUUCGGAAUCACUGGGCUUAAAGGGUGCGUAGGCGGCACGGCAAGUUGGGUGUGAAAGCCCUCGGCUCAACCGAGGAAUUGCGCCCAAAACUGCCGCGCUCGAGGGAGACAGAGGUGAGCGGAACUUAGGGUGGAGCGGUGAAAUGCGUUGAUAUCCUAAGGAACACCGGUGGCGAAAGCGGCUCACUGGGUCUCUUCUGACGCUGAGGCACGAAAGCUAGGGGAGCGAACGGGAUUAGAUACCCCGGUAGUCCUAGCUGUAAACGAUGAGCACUGGGUCGGAGACUCCUCCAUAGGUUUCCGGCCGUAGCGAAAGUGUUAAGUGCUCCGCCUGGGGAGUAUGGCCGCAAGGCUGAAACUCAAAGGAAUUGACGGGG